RNAcentral lists this unclassified non-coding RNA (300 nucleotides) under uncultured fungus. Its description in RNAcentral is "partial contains small subunit ribosomal RNA, internal transcribed spacer 1, and 5.8S ribosomal RNA". The stretch from base 1 to 73 matches the Rfam family "Eukaryotic small subunit ribosomal RNA", at positions 1759 to 1831 of the family's 1831-position model. The record is from RNAcentral. Lineage: Eukaryota; Fungi.
UCAAACUUGGUCAUUUAGAGGAAGUAAAAGUCGUAACAAGGUCUCCGUUGGUGAACCAGCGGAGGGAUCAUUAACGAGUUAUUAACUCCAUAAAACCCUAUGUGAACUUUACCUAGUUGCCUCGGCGUGAGCCCGCGCUUGCUCCGGAGCCGCCAUGCGCGGCCCCGGGCGGCGCACCUACGGCCCGCCAGAGGACCGCUAAACUCUUGUUUAUACUGAUGGAACUCUGAAUUCUUAACUAAAUAAGUUAAAACUUUCAACAACGGAUCUCUUGGUUCUGGCAUCGAUGAAGAACGCAGC